GUAGGUGAGUCCUCAUGUCCAUGGUGUAGGUGAGUCCUCAUGUCCACGGUGUAGGUGAGUCCUCAUUACCACGGUGUAGGUGAGUACUCAUGGUGUAGGUGAGUCCUCAUGGUGUAGGUGAGUCCUCAUGGUGUAGGUGAGUCCUCAUGGUGUAGGUGAGUCCUC
Molecule: non-coding RNA, 165 nt
Organism: Petromyzon marinus (sea lamprey)
Lineage: Eukaryota; Metazoa; Chordata; Hyperoartia; Petromyzontiformes; Petromyzontidae
Source: RefSeq, a predicted model, not a curated record